UUUUGUUGUGCAACACUACCAGCCAAACGGCGCCGCGUUCAUACCGUCUGACGGGGGUCCAGGUUGUGAGCUGACUUCAUGAAAUGGAAUGCAAAGAAUAAAACAGUUUUGGCUUCAAUUCGACGGACAUUGCGCUGCUCCGUUUGGGUUCGUGUGUCAUAGAAGAGACACAGGAACAUACAUGCAGACAUCAAUCCCCUGUAACUUGUAAUAAUAGUUGUUCACAGAGGAUAAAGAAUAUGCAGUCACAUCCUACGCUCAUCCCCACAAGAUGCUUUGAAUUAGGCGGCGACACGAAGAGAGGCCAGACGGACUCGGUCCUCCGCUGGGAGCGUGAGCGAGGUGUUGCGCAGGUGAGAGCGGCAUCUUCCUGGCCUCCAUCAACAGCCAUCCUCAGUGCGAUUGAUUAUCUGUGCGGGCGGCACGGCAAAGCAGCGCUGAGCAUGUUUGCCUCGCAGUCCUGCGUUUCGGGGCUUUGAAUCUCGGAUCGGGCCUUCCUGCGGUGAGUUUGCUGUUUGAUGAUCCCCAAGACAUUCUGUGGACUGAUGAGUCAAAAACUGAACAUUUUGGAAGAUGUGCGGCCCGUUACAUGCGGGGUGAAAAAUGGCACGGCGUUUGAUAAAAAGAACAUGAUGCCAACAGUGGAGCAUGGUGGUGGCAGUGUGAUGGUCCGUGGCUGCUUUGCUACCUCAGGACCAGGACAACUUGCUGUGAUUGAUGGGACAAUGAAUUCUGCUGUCCACCAGAAAAUUCCGAUGGAGAACGUCCGACAACCAGUUUGCGCCCUCAAACUUAAACGCUCUUUAAUCAUGUAGCAGGACAAUGAUCCAAAAGGCUAAAAAAAAAAAAACCCAAAACAAAA
Molecule: long non-coding RNA, 862 nt
Organism: Hippocampus comes (tiger tail seahorse)
Lineage: Eukaryota; Metazoa; Chordata; Actinopteri; Syngnathiformes; Syngnathidae
Exons: 2
Source: RefSeq, a predicted model, not a curated record